This 520-nucleotide ribosomal RNA is filed under the name uncultured Glomus. RNAcentral describes it as "SSU rRNA". It matches the Rfam family "Eukaryotic small subunit ribosomal RNA", at positions 569 to 1090 of the family's 1831-position model. Lineage: Eukaryota; Fungi; Glomeromycota; Glomeromycetes; Glomerales; Glomeraceae. The record is from RNAcentral.
AGCAGCCGCGGUAAUUCCAGCUCCAAUAGCGUAUAUUAAAGUUGUUGCAGUUAAAAAGCUCGUAGUUGAAUUUCGGGAUCAAUAUGUUGGUCGUGCCUCGGUACGUACUAGCAUAUUGGUUUCUCCUUUCUGAAGAACCAUGGUGUCAUUUAUUUGGUGUCGUGGGGAAUCAGGACUGUUACUUUGAAAAAUUAGAGUGUUUAAAGCAGGCUCACGCUUGAAUACAUUAGCAUGGAAUAAUGAAAUAGGACGUUUGAUUCUAUUUUGUUGGUUUCUAGGAUCGACGUAAUGAUUAAUAGGGAUAGUUGGGGGCAUUAGUAUUUCAAUUGUCAGAGGUGAAAAUUCUUGGAUUUUAUUGAAGACUAACUACUGCGAAAGCAUUUGCCAAGGAUGUUUUCAUUAAUCAAGAACGAAAGUUAGGGGAUCGAAGACGAUCAGAUACCGUCGUAGUCUUAACCAUAAACUAUGCCGACUAGGGAUCGGAUGAUGUUAAUUUUUAAUGUACUCAUUCGGCGCCUUA